GCAGAGGAGUCUGCUUUCUGCUGAUCUCCAGGAAGCUGCAUUAGCCUCUCUGAACCUGUCUCUGCUUUCCCCAAGCUUUGCUGAGAUCCAGGUUGGUUAGUUCCAGCACAGAGCACUGCUCUUGAAGUAACAGGAUGUUGACAUGGGUCCUACCUGUCAGGGUGAAGGAGCAUGGGCUGUGGGAAGUGAGGACAGUGAGAAGUGGUGGUUGUUAUUUUUCUGGUUUCUGUGGAAGAACAGGUGAAGUAUUUCACUGCCUCUGUUUGGAGUUGUCAUAUUGAAAGUCUCCUUUCAGAACUUGGACAAGGUGAGGGUCACGGAAGAGAAAUUCACUGGGCUUUCAGAAAGCAUAAGAGAUGAAGAAUAUUUUAAGAAUCCUAUGGAACAUGAUGGGGACAAUUACAACAGAAAACACUUUAGUGAUGAGGAGAAACUACACAAACUGAUACUGGAUCCAUUGCCUUUGACAGCAAAUAUGGGUUGGUGGACACAAACCUGUAUUCAGUUCCUCAUACUGGAGGAAGAUAAAGAAUCAGGAGGAAAUGCCAGUGAAGAGGCAAAAUGGAGGAAGGGGAACAAUGAAGAUUCCAGUUCUUCUAUUACUGUACUUCAUGUUUUACAUAAAAACAGGUGGAAGAAUAAUUUUCCCCUUUAACCUGCUGUGUGGCUUUCUGUGAGAUUCAUCAGUGCACAAGAGGAUGGUGAGGAAGAAAGCAGGAGGAAAAUCUGCUUGAAGAGUUGCCUUCCUAAAUUAAGUGGGAUAAAGAGGUGACCUGAAUUUGUUUGCUUGUUUUUAAAUAAAGAACUCAUGAAAUCUUAAAAAGAAGCUUUU
Molecule: long non-coding RNA, 832 nt
Filed under: Anas platyrhynchos platyrhynchos (common mallard)
Lineage: Eukaryota; Metazoa; Chordata; Aves; Anseriformes; Anatidae
Description: lncRNA (ENSAPLG00000030176.1)
Source: RNAcentral